AAUAGAUACCCCGGUAGUCCACCCCGUAAACGUUGGGAACUAGUUGUGGGGUCCUUUCCACGGAUUCCGUGACGCAGCUAACGCAUUAAGUUCCCCGCCUGGGGAGUACGGCCGCAAGGCUAAAACUCAAAGGAAUUGACGGGGACCCGCACAAGCGGCGGAGCAUGCGGAUUAAUUCGAUGCAACGCGAAGAACCUUACCAAGGCUUGACAUACACCAGAACACCCUAGAAAUAGGGGACUCUUUGGACACUGGUGAACAGGUGGUGCAUGGUUGUCGUCAGCUCGUGUCGUGAGAUGUUGGGUUAAGUCCCGCAACGAGCGCAACCCUCGUUCUAUGUUGCCAGCACGUAAUGGUGGGAACUCAUGGGAUACUGCCGGGGUCAACUCGGAGGAAGGUGGGGAUGACGUCAAAUCAUCAUGCCCCUUAUGUCUUGGGCUUCACGCAUGCUACAAUGGCCGGUACAAAGGGCUGCAAUACCGUGAGGUGGAGCGAAUCCCAAAAAGCCGGUCCAGUUCGGAUUGAGGUCUGCAACUCGACCUCA
RNAcentral lists this ribosomal RNA (544 nucleotides) under uncultured bacterium. RNAcentral's name for it is "bacterial SSU rRNA". It matches the Rfam family "Bacterial small subunit ribosomal RNA", at positions 777 to 1320 of the family's 1533-position model. The record is from RNAcentral.